GACGAACGCUGGCGGCGUGCUUAACACAUGCAAGUCGGACGGAAAGGCCCUGCUUUUGUGGGGUGCUCGAGUGGCGAACGGGUGAGUAACACGUGAGUAACCUGCCCUUGACUUUGGGAUAACUUCAGGAAACUGGGGCUAAUACCGGAUAGGAGCUCCUGCUGCAUGGUGGGGGUUGGAAAGUUUCGGCGGUUGGGGAUGGACUCGCGGCUUAUCAGCUUGUUGGUGGGGUAGUGGCUUACCAAGGCUUUGACGGGUAGCCGGCCUGAGAGGGUGACCGGCCUCAUUGGGACUGAGAUACGGCCCAGACUCCUACGGGAGGCAGCAGUGGGGAAUAUUGCACAAUGGGCGGAAGCCUGAUGCAGCAACGCCGCGUGCGGGAUGACGGCCUUCGGGUUGUAAACCGCUUUCGCCUGUGACGAAGCGUGAGUGACGGUAAUGGGUAAAGAAGCACCGGCUAACUACGUG
Molecule: ribosomal RNA, 468 nt
Filed under: uncultured bacterium
Lineage: Bacteria
Description: partial 16S ribosomal RNA
Rfam family: Bacterial small subunit ribosomal RNA
Source: RNAcentral